Molecule: long non-coding RNA, 613 nt
Organism: Saccostrea cuccullata (small rock oyster)
Lineage: Eukaryota; Metazoa; Mollusca; Bivalvia; Ostreida; Ostreidae
Exons: 4
Source: RefSeq, a predicted model, not a curated record
UCAUCGAUUGCAUUUUAUGAAAAUGUUUUGAACUGUACAGGAAUUGAAGUUAACAUAAAUACAUGUCCAAAGGGAUCACGUGGCUGUCCAUCAGGAUCACCUGUAGCUGUAAAAUGUCAAAAAGGCAGCACCUUGUCUGGAUUUUCUGUGUAUGUAUCAGAGGCAAAAGACUGGAAGUCAGGAACUCUAUGUUAUCAACACGAUAUUCAACAAAGACCCCAAAAUAACAUCACUGUUGACUGUGUCACUUCCGGUCGCUACGUCACUGUUUACAAUAGAAGGAAUAUUACGUUUUACCCAAAUGUAUCCGAAUUUUCUUAUAUAAAUAUAUGUGAAAUCGAAGUUAAAGGAUGUGACCUGGGCUUUUACGGAGAAAACUGCACGAGAUGUCCUCAGAACUGUUUAAAUAACACAUGCCACUUUCAGAUUGGAGAAUGCUUUGAGUGUAAAAAUGGAUAUACUGGAGAGUAUUGUGAAAAAGAAUGUCCAGCUGGUAAAUAUGGACAAGGAUGUUCUGUUCAAUGUGGGCAGUGUAUUGAAAAUCAACCGUGUUACCACGUAAAUGGAUCAUGUCCUGGAGAGUGUUCACCUGGAUGGAGAGGAGAGAAAUGCG